UUAAGUUCAGCGGGUAUCCCUACCUGAUCCGAGGUCAACCAUAAAAAAAUUGGUGGUUGUCUGGCAAGCACCGCCAGGUCUCCAGAGCGAGAGAUUGUUACUACGCUUAGAGCCGAGACGGCACCGCCACUAAUUUUAAGGCCUGCCGCGAUGGCGUAGCCCAAUACCAAGCAGAGCUUGAGGGUUGAAAUGACGCUCGA
RNAcentral lists this unclassified non-coding RNA (200 nucleotides) under Helotiales sp. Its description in RNAcentral is "partial internal transcribed spacer 2". Lineage: Eukaryota; Fungi; Ascomycota; Leotiomycetes; Helotiales. The record is from RNAcentral.